This 26-nucleotide non-coding RNA is filed under the name Homo sapiens (human). Lineage: Eukaryota; Metazoa; Chordata; Mammalia; Primates; Hominidae. The record is from RNAcentral.
UGUGGAACUUAUGGGUGUAGGUAUGG